UACGUAGGGUGCGAGCGUUAAUCGGAAUUACUGGGCGUAAAGCGUGCGCAGGCGGUUCGCCAAGUCAGGUGUGAAAUCCCCGGGCUUAACCUGGGAAUUGCGCUUGAAACUAGCGGGCUUGAGUGUGGCAGAGGGGGGUGGAAUUCCACGUGUAGCAGUGAAAUGCGUAGAGAUGUGGAGGAACACCGAUGGCGAAGGCAGCCCCAUGGGUCAACACUGACGCUCAUGCACGAAAGCGUGGGGAGCAAACAGG
This 253-nucleotide ribosomal RNA is filed under the name uncultured bacterium. Its description in RNAcentral is "partial 16S ribosomal RNA". It matches the Rfam family "Bacterial small subunit ribosomal RNA", at positions 524 to 776 of the family's 1533-position model. The record is from RNAcentral.